GACGAAGGGGGCUAGCGUUGCUCGGAAUCACUGGGCGUAAAGGGUGCGUAGGCGGGUCUUUAAGUCAGGGGUGAAAUCCUGGAGCUCAACUCCAGAACUGCCUUUGAUACUGAGGAUCUUGAGUUCGGGAGAGGUGAGUGGAACUGCGAGUGUAGAGGUGAAAUUCGUAGAUAUUCGCAAGAACACCAGUGGCGAAGGCGGCUCACUGGCCCGAUACUGACGCUGAGGAGCGAAAGCCAGGGGAGCAAACGGG
Molecule: ribosomal RNA, 253 nt
Filed under: uncultured bacterium
Lineage: Bacteria
Description: partial 16S ribosomal RNA
Rfam family: Bacterial small subunit ribosomal RNA
Source: RNAcentral